UACGGGAGGGGCAAGCGUUAUCCGGCAUAACUGGGCGUAAAGCGCACGUAGGCGGCUUUGUAAGUCAGAGGUGAAAUCCCGGGGCUCAACCCCGGAACUGCCUUUGAGACUGCAUCGCUUGAAUCCAGGAGAGGUGAGUGGAAUUCCGAGUGUAGAGGUGAAAUUCGUAGAUAUUCGGAAGAACACCAGUGGCGAAGGCGGCUCACUGGACUGGUAUUGACGCUGAGGUGCGAAAGCGUGGGGAGCAAACAGG
This 253-nucleotide ribosomal RNA is filed under the name uncultured bacterium. RNAcentral's name for it is "partial 16S ribosomal RNA". It matches the Rfam family "Bacterial small subunit ribosomal RNA", at positions 524 to 776 of the family's 1533-position model. The record is from RNAcentral.